This 240-nucleotide unclassified non-coding RNA is filed under the name soil metagenome. Its description in RNAcentral is "partial contains 5.8S ribosomal RNA, internal transcribed spacer 2, and large subunit ribosomal RNA". The record is from RNAcentral.
AACGGUCUAUACCUGCGGUACCUGCGGAGGGAUCAUUACCGAGUUAUACAACUCCCAAACCCACUGUGAACCUUACCUCAGUUGCCUCGGCGGGAACGCCCCGGCCGCCUGCCCCCGCGCCGGCGCCGGACCCAGGCGCCCGCCGCAGGGACCCCAAACUCUCUUGCAUUACGCCCAGCGGGCGGAAUUUCUUCUCUGAGUUGCACAAGCAAAAACAAAUGAAUCAAAACUUUUAGCAAU